UCAUCCCCUCUCUAGGGUAGUGAAGGGACCGCUGACCACAGCUAACCCAGGAAGGCAUCGCCCUCCUGGCCUGCGCGCUGGGCCUGCGCCCUGUGUUGGCCAUCCAGGGAGGGUUCCUGGAGGCGGCAUCCACCUCCUUGGGGAGAAAGGGAGUUUUUCUUACCAGAGCUCCUGGGGUGCUUGAAGUCGCCCGCGCUGCUCUCGUUUGACAAAUCAUCCACAGUUGACUUUUUUUAAGUCUCACAUCUGCCCGUGAAGCACCCUAGGACAGUGCCAAGCUCAGAAGCAGGAGCUGCUGCCCACAGAGGGGACAGAUGGUCACUGGGUACACCUGCGCACACCUGGGCAGGUUCUCUGUCUCCUGGUGUACUACUGGCUCAUGAGGUGGUUCCUUUGAGGAGCUCUUCUCUGUUAGACGGGAUUCUUCUGCUGCCCUCUGUGAUGUCUUGCAGAUGAGCUCUGUUGUGAGGCAUCCUCCCCAAAAGACUUCCGGGGAGUCAGGGGUGGGAGGUGGCCCGGACCGCAGAGCGUGGGUCUGGUGGAUGGUGUGCAUGGCGGCUUCCUGACCCUCUGCAUCCCAUCUGUCCUUAGGCCUGCCACCAGGGACACACUGCAGCCAGCACCCGAGUCCGGUACUCGAAUGGAGGUUGUCCAUGGUGUGUUCAUUAUAUUUAUGAUGAGUAUUACAUGGCCAAUCUCCUUUCGGUACUAAAUUCUUCUUGGGAAAACUUCGCCAGGGGAAGCUCCAGCCAGUGCCUGUGCAGGGUAAGGAAAUGGGUCACUUCUGCAUGACAAGUGCUUUACAUCAGACGUGGGUCACCUGUCAUCAUAGGAUUUCCCAGAAGUGAUGCUGACUGUGUAGAUGAGACUAUGGUUUUCUGGGUCAUGUUACCCUCCCUUCUUUGAAGACUCGUUAGUAAAGAAAGCUUAUUAAAAAAAAAAGCUUAUAAAAAAGAAAGCUUAAAAAAUCUGCACACUGCAAGCCAUCUUCUUGGAUAGAGGCAUGCUUGAAGGAACUGGCUCAAUCCAAGGCACCCAAUAAUCCUCAGCUGUGGGGGGAGAGGUUUUCCUCAUGGAGAGAACUGACAGUGUUUGAAGGCAGGUGUCCAUGGUGACUUGACUGGCCCUGGUGCAAGACAAGAGUCACUUAUAGCACUCAUUCCUACCUGGUGCUUGUACUGGUAAUGAUCUUGAAUGAGUCAAUUAACCUGUUACCUCUCCAUGCCUUGGUGUCUUCACCUGAAGAAUGGGGUGGUACCUGCUCAGAAGGUAGGUAUAGCAACUCGGUGUAUGCUCAGCAUAUAGAUGGUGCUGGGCGCACAGCACAGGAAGGCGGGGUAACCACUGUCUUGCAACAGUCACUAUCACAGGGGUGCUAUUAUAGGGUCUGUUGAUCUUGCCCCUCCCCAUGGCCCUGAGCACACACAGGAGACAGGAGGCUGAGGUGCAGGGAGAGGGUUGGCCGCCAUCUGACAUGGGUUCUUUUUUGCGCCCUCUUUGGGGCCUCCUGGAAGGAGUGGCUGGAGGAUGGUCCUGUCCCCCCUCUUUCCCUACAACACUGUCUGCUCACCCCUACAGUCCUGCCCACCCCUCGCUGCCUUCAAGGAGGAGGGGCUGGCCUCCAGGUCAGCAUGUGAGGCCCCCAGUGGGCCGGAGGACCAUACAGUGGUCACACAAGAAAGCUGCAGCUCCUUUUUCUGUGUUAAGCCCCCAGGGGGGACUAGCCAGCAGAGAUGCAGCUUUGGGAACAGGACUUCGGCUUCAUGUCCCCUGGGUGCACCUGAAGUCAGUCAGGGACCACUUCUGAAACCCCCGCAAGAUGGCCCUCGGCACACCAUGUUCCAGCCACACUGGGGGCUCCUGGAAGGUAGUGCCAGUCACCCAGAGAGCAGUCUGUGUCACAGUAGCCCCUGGGGACAGUGGUGCUCGGGCGAAGAAGCAUCUGUUGGUGUUCUUGCCCGUGCUGACGUUUGACUCUGGAGCAGAGGUUGCCCUUGGUGAAUUCGCUUUAUUUACGUUGAAUCACACAAAGGCAACUUUUGUUUGAGUGUCAAGUCCGGCUUGGGAAGGCUUCCGGGACCUGGUGGCCCAUGAAUGAGGAUGGGUGGUGUGGACGAGGUGUGGUGGCCACUUUCCCCAGUGGACAAGAGCACAUGGUGACCAUGUGGCACAGUGCUGAGUGGGACUCAGUUCUGACCUCGGACCUCUGUCUUGACAUCUCCCUUUUGGCCACUGACCCCAAAGGUGUUUUGGCAGCAGAAGAGACUUGGACCUUGUGGAUAAAUAAAGAGCUGGCAUUCCAGAGUGCUGGUGACCAGGGUCCCUCGGUCCCUCCCACUGUCACCUCUCACAGCACUGCUCUCCCUCUGUGCCCCUACUUGCCUCAGUUCCUGUCUCUUCCCAGGUUUCUCGUGGGUUGUUGAAAUGCACAGAGGCGAUCAGUAUUUCUUUCUGUUUAUAUCCAAUAAUAGUGAUAAAAAUAAUGAACACAAAAUAACACUAAAAACCACUGAAACGGCUCAGAGGAAAAUGUGUUCAAUUGACUACAAAUUGGCAGAAGAAUCCAAUUUUCUUGACAACAUUUCAGCUGCGACUUUUGACCUGGGGAAAUGGAAUGUUGUAGACACAGUGGCCACAGAGGAAGUUCCCGGUGGUGGCAGCUGUAAACAGGAAUAUUUGAUGUAGACAAAAGCACAUUGAGGAAUCAAAUCUUCAUUCAAAUUUUUAAAUGGAAAAGAAUUGAUCCUAAUGAAAAUGAUUUUCGGGAAAUAACAAGGGAAAUAAAAGAAAUGAAAACAGCUCAACAGUGCUGUGAAGGAAGCUAAACAGGGAAUUGGAUUAGCUUAAUGCAAUUCACUCCGAAAAACAUGUUUUUAUGAAAAUCAAUGCUGGUACAGUUCUCGUUCCGACGGUGAAACUCUUGCGUGUUUGGAGGGAGUUCAUGGGGUCAGUGGGGAUCCAGGGUCAAAACACACUGUCCUUCCUGCAACUAACCUUCUCUUCUGUCCCAAAUCUUCCCAGAGACCAUCCUGGACGGGCAUGCUGACUUCAGGGGUGCCACGCUGGUAAGGUGACCUCUGGGGGGUGUGAGUGCAUAAUGUCACCCAAGCACAUACCACAUGGGUGAUGUGCAUCACCUGGCUUGGUGCCACCUGCUCACCCCCAUCCAUGUACGUGGGGUUCUGCUGCCUCUGGAUCUGAGGUGGCAGCUCCAUGGUCUAUGGGGCUGGGUCUUUCAGAACCUUGCCCACCACGCUGCUGCCACAUGCAGGAAGCAUGGAAUAGUCCAGGUUUAAUCCUUCUUGGACUCUGGUGUUGGCCCCUCUCCAUGGUGCCCUCAAUCAUGUGCCCUUCAUUGGUGGUGAACGUCACUUGGUCAUGGAGGCUGAGCCUCCUUUGGGGGGUCAUCCUGGAGUUGAUGUCCCGGGAUCAAGGUGAAAAGAGGUUGCCACUUGCUAGCAUGCAAUUUAUUUGGUGACCAGAACUCAUGCUGGGUCUCUUUCCAGAUCAGCCCCACCGUGGAGGACUUGCAGAAGCCAUGCCACUCUCGGGCGAUGGCCAGCACUGGAAGCCCUCUCCGGGGCAGGUGCAGCCUGGACGUGCCUGAGUGUAGCGAUAAUGUAUGUCAUCUCAUCCACUCAACGUCGCCACCCGGCUGUUCUCACGAGCACUUCCAGACGGCAGCUGCGGGAAGAGACUCUGAGCUAAACAGGGCGCCCGAGGAGGCAGCACCAGCGGAGGCCACGGUCGAGGUCCUUGUGCCAGCAUCACUGUGGGUACCUGAGGAGAGGUUGUCUGUGAAGAGUUCGCUUUAUUAAUGACGAAUAUAACACAGAUGGCCUGUUUUCAGUACCACCUCCCACUCUCAGCGUGCGCGGGCGCAGCCAGUGCAGGGUAUGUGAAUGCAUGGAUUCCGCGAGUGGCGCUGUCGCCCCCUCUGCUGAGCCUCAGCCUGGGGGAGCUUCCGGGGGUUGGGCCGGCCUCAGGGAAGAGGCCAGCUCUUGCUGGCGAGGCCCUGAGGUGCCUGCGGGGUUCCUGACGAGGCCCCGCCCUCCUCUAUGCGAUGCCAUUGAGGUGGAGGGGCCAGUCUCCAGGGAGUCCUGCCUGCAUGCUGCCCAGCACUGGCUGCCUCCCUCCAGUCCCACCUUGGACCCCUCGGCGACCCGGACGCCCUUGGGAGGAGCCUCGGCCCGCCUGCUGCGCAUGCUGCUCUGCGUGGUGCGUGAGGAGAGGUUGCCCGUGGCGCGUUCGCAAUCAUCAUGACGCACAAUACACGGUCGACCUCUCUUCAGUACCAGAUCCCACCUUGCAUGCUGCCUGCGCGCCUGCUCGUGUCGGGAGGGUCGUGGUUCACCGGCCUUCUGGGCCCCUGGGUGCAUGGCUGAUGGCCGGCUGAGCAUGCGCUUGACCCACAUCUGCAGCCCUGGGCAUCCCUCCUGCCAUGGAGGCGGGCAGCGGGGAGGUCGGGAGGCCACCCUGGAGGAAGAAGCCUCCUCUCUGGAGUCCGCGCUGCUCGGUGGUACCUGAAAUAGGUUGCCUGUGAGGUGUUCACUUUCUAUACGAUGAAUAUUAUACAGUCAACCUCUUUCCGGCAUCGAAUCCCGCCUCGGAAGACUUCCACUGUGCGAUGCCAUGCCAGGUGGCAGAACCUCUGUUGGUUGUCCCUGUGGCCUUCCUGCGGGACCUGUCACCUGGUCUUUCAGUUUCCCAUUGCUCUUCCAUUUGCAACCCCGCCUGGCCCACACUUUGCCAAAGUUACUGUAGCAGCCUUAUCUGGAUACUCAGUAACUGAGGGCAGGGGUCUUCCUAGUGCACCUCCUAAGGCCAGGCUCGCCUGCUCAGCACUGAGCUGUGGGAAUUUCUUUCCGAAGGCUACACCCUCCCCACGAGGGUGCAACCACUGCCUUUCCCCAGGGGCUGCCCAGGGACUGUGCCCAUAGUGAGGCUCCUAGCACCAUCCCCGAAGGUCCCCAGCUCUGCCGCCUUGCAGCCGCAGCUGCUGGAGGGGCUGCCCAUUCCGGUGUAGGCCACCACACAGAAUCCCCACUUGAGUCUCCCAAUGGUCUCCCGACCUCCUCCUGUCAGGGAGAACUUUCCAGAGCCCAUCUGCCUUGCUGCACCACAAUAAGGCCCCUGGGUGGACCUUUCCCUCUUCCUCUGUGCCUAGAGGACAUGGAGUCCUCGCAUGGCCCCCAGCCUCGGCCCUGGUGUCAGGCAUACCCUCUGUUUAUUUUCAUCACUUUCUGGGCUCCUGCAGAUGUCCCUUCCACUUCUGGGCACCUCCCCUGCUGCCUUCAGCCUCUUCCCUCCCGACCGUGCUGCCUUUGUGAGCACCCCAAGUCCUGCAUACCCCUUUCUCAAGGUUCAGGAUUCCCAAGGGAAUGAUGGCCCUUGCAGCAAGGCCACCCCUGAGCACCCUAACAGAAGCAGCCCAGCCCACCUCAUUCUGGUACAAACUAUCAGUCACACUCUUGCCUUUUCCCCCCUAGUUUAUAGCUCUCCCAGAUGGCCUCUUGUUCACAGCCACUUGUGCCCCCACCCCCUCCCCUUAAAUGGCAACAUCUCAGGGGGCAGGAGUUUCUCUGUCUUCUCCUCUGCUGUAUCCCCACCCUUGGGACCCAGGGCUGGCUCAUAGUAGCAGAGCAGUGAAUAAGUGUUGAUUGACUGGUAGAGUCCUCAAGGACAGAUACCAUAGGAGGUUUAUCCCCAGGAAAGUGCUGAGCACAAACCGGGAACUCCAUAAGAUGUGGCCACUGGGUUUAUGAAUAUGGUGAUCACUGUUUAGAUUCUUCACUUUUGUUAGAAGCUAUUUAGGGAUCUAGCUUUUUCUAUGCCUUCCAGGAUGUCACUUGAGAGUCUGGGGUUGGUUGUGGCAGGGCAGGUCAGUGAGGUCUGAGUUCUUUUCUCCACUUUUCAAACUGGGGCCCCCACACUAGGCUGCAGAUGUGGUGGGGUGUGUUCCCACCCGGCCCUGCCAGCCAGAUGCUCUGGGGAACUCCACCGGCAAUGGGCCAGAGCCUGGUGUCAGGGCUAAUAUUUUAUGCAUGGAACUGACUAAAUGGGAACAUUUGGAGAUGAAAAUUGCUGUUAAUGCAUUGACACAUCUUUGGAAUAUAUUAAAGUGUGUGUAUGGUGGAGGGGUGGGGAGACGGGCAUUAGCCUUAGUUAAUUGCUCCAAUGUAACCACUGCCUCACAGCAGCGUUGGCAGGCAUGGCUGCCCUGAGUCUCUCGGGCCGCUGGUGGGGGAGAGUGCUUGGUACCUCAUCUACCACUCGAGAAUUAUGCAUGAGACAAGAUGUCAGCCCAGGGUACCAGGCAAUCAGCAGCAUCCAUGUUCCCAACUCAUUUCAGACUCAAAGAUGGCAACCCUGUGCCGCUUGGUGCAGAAUCUCAUUAAAGGCAAAAUUACUGAUUUAUCUAUUGUUUGAGGAGAAGGGAAAAUAAACAAAGGGCCUUUCUCAUCCAACAAGCCAAAUGAAAAUGUCUGUCCCCCAAGUGGCCGUAAUGAGAGCCGAUGUGGACCCUUCAGCCUGAGGGUCAGUGACUCAGCCUGUUUCCAAGGCAGUAUGUAAAUCCAGCCAGCAGUCCAAGGUCACAGGGCCCAUAUGGUUUUUCAAUGUGCAAGGGCCCUGUUUACCAUCCUCUGGGCAUGAUUGGAAAAGUGAUUUGCCCUGGGCUUGUGUCCCUCUCUGUCAUUGUUUUUAAGGGGUGAUAAGGAGAAAAGUACAGCUGUCCUGAAAGUGAGUUUGCAUGGCCCGGGGCCCUGUCAGUGGCAGGUUCUGUUUUACAGAUAAGACAGUGGAGCACAGAGAGGCCCAAUGCCUGGGCCCAGAUCACCCAGGUAGAGGUGGAGCAGGGCACAUCUGGCCCCAGGGCCUUCUUAAUCGCCCUGCUUGGCUGGAGUCCACAGCUCUGGGACUGGCCCCUUGUGCCCUAGAAGAAAGCAGUCUCAUUGAAUUGACCUUGAAUUCUUCUUGUAUAACAUGGCAGGCUCCCAAGACUUGCUUUGCCAGAAUUUUCAUGUAUUUCAUUUUUUUUUCUUCUUCAUUAUCCACUUGGUGUCUCUCCAAGUUGGUGCCAGCACCCAUGGAUGCUAGUUUGUGUCUGACAUGAGGAGAGGGCAAGACCCUGGUCCUGAAGGUCAACUAUAAAACCCAAGACCCACGGUGACCUGUGUCUUUGCUCCCACUUGAGGGCAUUUGGGGAGGGGAUGUCCGCUGUCUCCAUUGUGUGUGGGGAACAAGAUCUGUGUAUGCUCAGUGGAGCCAGGACCGCCCCCCCCCCAUGUGCCCACCUUGGCCUCCGCUCCUGGGCCCAAUCAGAGGCUGGUGCAGCGCUUGAGCAUCCACAGAGCUGUCCUUGGGAUCCCUGAGGAUGCAGAGAACCCUCCCACGUUGGGGCUGGAUGGGACUCCAUUCUCCUCUUGGCCUACGCCACUGUUCAUACCCUGGGACAGGUAGGGAAACUGAGGUCAGUUAGGGCAGGAUGCUGGGCUGUGCAUUUCUCUUUCACUGAGACUCAGGCAAGGUCCACCUCUGGGGACUUGGGAGUUGCCUUCUUUGUCAACCCUGAGAGGGCUGCAGAAACCACUGUGAGACCUCCACACUAGAGGGAGGGGGCUGCUGCCCUGCAGCUCUGCUUCUGGAAGCCAGGGCCCUAACUCUGCUGCAGUGCCACGUCCUAGUAGCUGCUCAGAUAAUACCGUCUCCUUGGGUCAAAUCCAGCCCCAGAUGCCAGUGCAGAGUGAAUGUUCCAGGCACGAAGGUGUAAUGAGUCAGAUGUCUUUAUUGCCUGGAGGAAGCACACAGGAAGCACUCGGAGAACGUUUGUGGAAUGAAUAACUAAAAACGUGCUCUUUGAGGUAAUAAAGAAGCUGAGAAAUGAAGAAGAAUCGGGGCAGACAGACAUAAAUCUCUACCAACACUGCCAAGGCUGUGCAGCCGGGGCCUCUGAAAAGACCCUGUGGAGGUGGAAGGGCCAUUUGUCAUGGACGAGGACAGGCUUGAGGGCUGGGACGCAGGGUCUGAUGGAGCCUCAUUCAUCAUUUUCCCAUUAUCCCAGUGACAUGGAGAGGAGCUGGCGUAUUACCUGUGUGCCAGGCCACGUCGGCCUGGAGGUGCCAGGCCCUGGGCCCAGGGAGUGGGGCAGGGGUGGGAGUAGCCGGGACCCUGAGGAAGGGCAGUCUGGGCUUGGGAGCAGCUCCAGGGCCUGCCUCCUCCAGGAAGCCUCCCCGGACCUCCCACCCACAGUCCCAAUGUGCAGACAGACAUUUGUCACAGGGGCUCAGCUGGGGCAGAGACUGAGUUGACUUUCUUGCCAUGGUGCUUCUGUCCGAGUGUGGGGCAUCGAGCCGAGAAGCCGCUGGAGGCUUGCUGGCCUUGUCUUCCAUUUGCAGGCAGCUGGACCCGCACUCAGAAGGUCUUUAGUAGUGGACCUUCCAGAGCCAGACCCUGCGGUGACCCCAACCAGGCCACUUCCACUGAAGAAAGAUGUCUGAGCUGGGGACACCUGACCCUGAGGUGUUCCCUGGGCCUGGGGCUGCUCUGCUCACCUGGGCCCGUCUCAGGAGUGUCCGCCCUGAUGGAUCUCUCCCUUUUCCUCCCUGGAUUUCUGCUACUUCAAAGACUCCAAGAUGUCCCCUGUUCUCAGAAGGCAGAGUCCACCUGUGACCCUGGCAGGUCCCUGCUUCUCCCUGCACCCCGAGGAGGAAGAACAACAUGGACACUGAGACACCCCCUCCCUCAUUUUAAAAGCCUGAGAACCCUGGGACAGUCCCUCGGCAGGACCGAAAGCCCUGGUUUGGGAGCCUGGGGGAGCUGGGGAGGUGGGAGAGGGUCCCCCAGGGGAGCAGACCACAGGGAGAGAGCAACUGAGGUCCUCCCAGCUGCUCUGAGCCUGGAAGAAGCAGGAAUUCCUGCUCCUGGCUUCCAAACACUGUGGCCAAGUCAUUUGAAUAAUAAAUACGCAUUGCAAGAUGUA
Molecule: long non-coding RNA, 8980 nt
Organism: Ictidomys tridecemlineatus (thirteen-lined ground squirrel)
Lineage: Eukaryota; Metazoa; Chordata; Mammalia; Rodentia; Sciuridae
Source: RefSeq, a predicted model, not a curated record